Molecule: long non-coding RNA, 342 nt
Organism: Asterias rubens (European starfish)
Lineage: Eukaryota; Metazoa; Echinodermata; Asteroidea; Forcipulatida; Asteriidae
Exons: 3
Source: RefSeq, a predicted model, not a curated record
UUUUUUAUGAGUUUUGACGCUGAGUUGAGAGACUGACAUUCAACAAAGUGACAGUUAAACCAUGGUUAAACUGACACAGAAUGGCGAGUUUGGAUACUGAGUUUUAUGCAUCUGGAAUGGGUGAGACUCAACAGACUGUGGACUGGUGUUGGGCGCUUCAAUACCAAGAUGUGAAUGUGGAACCUUACUGAGGAUCCAGCCUGUGACUCGCGUAAUCAUACCAUCAUAUUAACCAGCAACAUCUCAUGCGUACCUCAGGCAUAUUUAGUUAAGAUGUGUACUCUCUGGGCACUACACUGCAUGUCCUGUUCCCUCCCUAUCUUGCGGCUUAACGGUGCUACU